GAUGAACGCUGGCGGCGUGCCUAAUACAUGCGAGUCGAGCGAACAGACGAGGAGCUUGCUCCUCUGACUUUAGCGGCGGACGGGUGAGUAACACGUGGAUAACCUACCUAUAAGACUGGGAUAACUUCGGGAAACCGGAGCUAAUACCGGAUAAUAUAUUGAACCGCAUGGUUCAAUAGUGAAAGACGGUUUUGCUGUCACUUAUAGAUGGAUCCGCUCCGCAUUAGCUAGUUGGUAAGGUAACGGCUUACCAAGGCAACGAUGCGUAGCCGACCUGAGAGGGUGAUCGGCCACACUGGAACUGAGACACGGUCCAGACUCCUACGGGAGGCAGCAGUAGGGAAUCUUCCGCAAUGGGCGAAAGCUUGACGGAGCAACGCCGCGUGAGUGAUGAAGGUCUUCGGAUCGUAAAACUCUGUUAUUAGGGAAGAACAAAUGUGUAAGUAACUAUGCACGUCUUGACGGUACCUAAUCAGAAAGCCACGGCUAACUACGUG
This 497-nucleotide ribosomal RNA is filed under the name uncultured bacterium. Its description in RNAcentral is "partial 16S ribosomal RNA". It matches the Rfam family "Bacterial small subunit ribosomal RNA", at positions 28 to 507 of the family's 1533-position model. The record is from RNAcentral.